UAGAACUGUGUUUUUGAUUUUUGAAAUUGUUUAAUUGCAUUUGGAUAAUUCUGUUUCAUUUGUUCCCAGGGGGGAAGGGGAAGGCACCUAGGGAGUGCUUAGGCAAGAGGCCUGCGGGCAUACAUAUACCCGUGGUAUAUUCACUGUCUAGCCACACUAGGUAAGACCUGGGCGGACCACCCCCUGUAUUUUGGUUAGGGCACCAGGUGGUGCUAAAUUAGGUAAGUAGUGGGUAUGCAGGUAAGGUAGGAGAGGGGGCUUUGAGAUUUACUUUCUAUGCUUUGGUUCCGUCCAGCCCCUUUUCCCCAUAUUACCGUGUGACGGCAUAAAUUCCUUGUAAACAUUUAUGCUGGUACCACUCUCUCUGCCUUUGUCCUCCUUACUCACACCUACAGUCCCAUACCUCUUUCACUUCAUGGAGGGUUGAGUUGUAGCAGUCAUUAGAAGUUUCCACUUAAUAUGAGGGCUGAGGGUGUCUUUUACAUGUUAUGAAUGCAGCCCAAGAAACAAUCAAAAUGGGUCUGUGUUCAGUAUGUUUUUAUGUUCUGGAACGUUCAAUUGAACAGAAACUGCUGUACAGAACAACCAGUUGAAAAACGGGGAGGGGUUGUGGGCAUGUAAACAUUGGGCGUCAUCCAUUUUGUCAAAGUUGAUGGUCACCGGCUGCAUUUCAAACACUUAAAAGGCACACCCUCAGCCCUCAAAUUAAGUGGACACUUCUGAUGACGUUGGACAAGUUUACACUUGCAGGGCGAGGGAGGAGGGAAUGAAUUUUAAAUGGACCGCCCUUGCCCGGAAAUUCAUCAUUCCACGAAUGUGUUUUCAGCUACCAGUAACUGGAAUGGGAGUGUUGAGACGCGAGGAUGUGCUGACAACGUUUCCGUCAUACUGGUGUCUGUUAGCUUCUGAACAACAGACACCCAAUCUGGCCCCUCAUUGCGUGCCUCUGAGUGAUAUGUCCACCGUGGCUCCAGACCUUAAAACAUGCCCAGAUCCCACCACUCCCAGCAACACUGCCCACAACAGAUGAACAUCAGACAUGUUGGUCAACCGUUCAUUUUAAACAAGAUGUUGUAAUCUCUAACUCCAUGCGUAGGGUAAUACUGUUCACAGCAAUGCAAUUGCUAAUUGCUUGUGUUGCAUACUUGCGUAGUGUGUAAAUAAGGCCUAAUGCUCUGUAGUGCCCUGUACUGCUUAUCCCGAUGACUCCUGAUUUAAAUGGCCGUUGUUUUCUAUCUAAUACAUUGUCUUUUCUAAUUCGUGCACAUGGUUUUUUGCCUUAAAUGUGUAUUUUUCUUUGGGGUACUUUUAAUAAAGUAGUUCAGAACAGAAUUUCAGAGAUUGUCCCAAAAAUUCAACACAUGUAUAAUCCAAUCGGAAGCUGGUCUACAUUUAACGGACUCCUAACUUCCUCCCUGUUCCUGCCACCCUGGAUAAUAAAGGGUCCCUUCCCUCUGUCCCAAGUCUCCUACAAGUUCAUAUCAUAAACAUACAUUAGGAUUUGCUUUAUUGUAUCUGAUUAGGAAUUUAAGAAGGAAUCCUGUUUGACACAUUGCAUGAUGCCCCUCUUUAUCCCAGACAAAAUUCCCCUCAUGGACAAAGUAAAUUAUAUCAACUUGUAGGACACCUGGGAUACACUUGGGAACCGCAUCUCUAGCAAUAGCCUAUUUUUCUCCCAUGGUAACGAAAGAGUUUGGCCAUUAGAUGGUGCUAUCAAACCGUUUCUCAACCUCACUCAUGAUGACGGCCUGCAACGGGCAAGACAGACUUAUGCUAUCAAAAAGAGCUACACAUUUUCAGUUUGUCUUUUUAUGUAUGCCUCAGCAGAUUUACGCUAUACAAAAAUAUAAAUGCAACAUGUAAAGUGUUGGUCCAAUGUUUCAUGAGCUGAAAUAAAUGAUCCCAGAAAUGUUC
Molecule: long non-coding RNA, 1914 nt
Organism: Oncorhynchus nerka (sockeye salmon)
Lineage: Eukaryota; Metazoa; Chordata; Actinopteri; Salmoniformes; Salmonidae
Exons: 2
Source: RefSeq, a predicted model, not a curated record